GCUGGCGGCGUGCUUAACACAUGCAAGUCGAGCGGUAAGGCCCGUUUCGGGGGUACACGAGCGGCGAACGGGUGAGUAACACGUGGGUGACCUGCCCUCAGCUCUGGGAUAAGCCUGGGAAACUGGGUCUAAUACCGGAUAUGACUCCAUGACGCAUGUCGUGGGGUGGAAAGCCUUGUGCGGCUGGGGAUGGGCCCGCGGCCUAUCAGCUUGUUGGUGGGGUGAUGGCCUACCAAGGCGACGACGGGUAGCCGGCCUGAGAGGGCGACCGGCCACACUGGGACUGAGACACGGCCCAGACUCCUACGGGAGGCAGCAGUGGGGAAUCUUGCGCAAUGGGACGAAAGCCUGACGCAGCGACGCCGCGUGAGGAUGAC
Molecule: ribosomal RNA, 377 nt
Filed under: uncultured bacterium
Lineage: Bacteria
Description: bacterial SSU rRNA
Rfam family: Bacterial small subunit ribosomal RNA
Source: RNAcentral